RNAcentral lists this long non-coding RNA (1144 nucleotides) under Cyanistes caeruleus (blue tit). Its description in RNAcentral is "lncRNA (ENSCCEG00000022382.1)". The record is from RNAcentral. Lineage: Eukaryota; Metazoa; Chordata; Aves; Passeriformes; Paridae.
AUGACACAAGGCCUGAGCUGUAGGUGCACAUACAGAGAAGACACCAGAGAGCUCAGGAACCAACUCUGCCAGUGCUCAGCUGCUGCCUGCAGAUCCACCCAAGUGCUGUCAGCUCACCAGCUAAAGGAGGAGGACAUUCACUCAGGUGAGGUUUUACACUGCCCUGAGCUGGAGCUGAUUUUCAGGACUCGCAGGCACAUUGCCUCAGGUUUGGCAGCAGGACAGUCACGCUCCUACAAAAGCCCAUUCCAGUUAAUUAGAGCGUUGCCUUUCAGCACAAUUAAUGAUCUGAGAGGAUGCAGCAUGCUGAGGGAGGUAAACUCUCCUGGCCUUUGGACUCUGUGCUGCUGGCUGGAGGCUUUAGGGACACAGGAGGGAAAGGCCCAUCCUGCAGGUUCUGCAGAGGUGAGCAAAGCACUGGGAGGUUUCUGGGAGAGGGAUGCAGCAGUGGGUGGUGUGAGCAGGCAGCCUGCUGCUAAUCAGAGGCUCCUUUAUCUCUCAGCAGGAGCAGGACUGGAGAUGCAGCAGCCCAUAUGCACGGCCGUCUGCCCAAAGCCUUCCCCUCUUUGAUGAGGAUGGUACAGGCUGUGCUGAGCUGCAACUCGAUAAAUAUCAGCCAAGUCUCUCUGUCCCUAGAGGGGCAAGUGCCUUCUGCACCAUCCAAGGGCUGAGGAGAGGGAGCUGAAAUCGCUCCCUUCUCCUUGGAGGUAGAGCAGAGCCAGGGCAGGGCAGACACCCCCGCAGGUGACUCGUGGCUUCAUUCUUCAGCACCAAGUACCCUCAGAACUGCUUCAAAGACUUCUCUGGGCAGGCACAGUUAAGCCUUUUAUUUUAAUUAACCAUCUUUCCUUGGGGAUACCAGAGUCCCAAGGUCUGGCUUUUCAUUUUGCAAAUACAAAUGGAGAAGGUGUUGCAGUGAUACCCAUACCUAAGGCAGAUGUGCUGCCAACAUCCUAAAUUCCUUUUUUUUUUCCACUCAUGUACGUGAGCUGUCCUCAGAUCUCUGUGCUGAGACAUGCACAUUUUAAUUCCAAUAGCGCUUAGCACCCCCCACCACCCCGAGCUUUUUUUGCAGCCUCACCAAAAAUAUAUAUUCACAUGACUCUAGAAUAAAACUGGAAAGUCUCAUCUGCCUGGGUAGUUC